CGAUUUUACGUAGGUGGCUGCAUGGUUGUCGUCAGCUCGUGCCGUGAGGUGUCGGUUAAGGUCCCAUAACGAGCGCAACCCCUACCUUAGUUGCCAUCAGGUUAAGCUGGGGACUCUAAAGGAACUGCCUACGCAAGUAGUGAGGAAGGCGGGGAGUGACGUCAAAUCAGCACGGCCCUUACGUCCAGGGCUACACACGUGCUACAAUGGCCGAUACAGAGGGCAGCUACCUGGUGACAGGAUGCAAAUCUCCAAAGUCGGUCUCAGUUCGGAUCGGAGUCUGCAACCCGACUCCGUGAAGUUGGAUUCGCUAGUAAUCGCGCAUCAGCCAUGGCGCGGUGAAUACGUUCCCGGGCCUU
Molecule: ribosomal RNA, 359 nt
Filed under: uncultured Sphingobacteriales bacterium
Lineage: Bacteria; Pseudomonadati; Bacteroidota; Sphingobacteriia; Sphingobacteriales
Description: bacterial SSU rRNA
Rfam family: Bacterial small subunit ribosomal RNA
Source: RNAcentral